UGUCCACCUAGGAUUCCAGGUCACAAAUUCAGCUCUUGAAAGAGUGACACCUGUCCAGGCCAAUGAUACUCUGCGUUUCAUUUAAUCUCUUUCUAUUGUUUCCGUGUGUUUUGUAUGUUUCCUGGCUUUUCUUUCAAUUUUUUGGGCUUUCUACUCUUCUAAGCCCAGAACGUUACCUCAUCUCUUCCCGUGGUCGUCGAAUCAGUUACCUAGCUCUAGCCGACUUUGCAAAACCUCCAUUGAAACGCUUCACUCUGCAUUCAUACCAAGCAAUAAUUCUUCUCAUUAUUUCCUCCUAUCCACGAAACCCACUACGUCCUACUUAAUUUUCCUUUAUUACCUUUUCUAGGUUUAUGAUCUUAUAAAUAGGGAUGAAAGCGUCACAAAUCUCAUCGCUUCUUAGCGUAUAUGCUUUAAUUUCUUUUUAAACCAUUGUUACGACGAUGGCGAAUUAUUUUUAGGUCGUUGUAUGCAAACUGUUGUGGCGCCUCAUCUUUGCUACUGGGAAGCCCGGAGAGUGAAGAAAAGUGGGGGAGUUCAUGGGUACUUGCUACUUCUAGAUGAGAAGUUCAUCGUCUAAAGAUGCCACCGCUGAAGAGCUAGAGUGCUCUGUGAAUGAACGCCUCUCCAAACCUUAUCGAGGAUCAUUGUUCUAGAGGCCCAGGUUUUAUAUGAUCCCUGACACUGUUCUUCAUCAAUGGCACAUAUUUUCUCUAAUUCUAGCUUGCCCGGUUCACCUAUCUAGCUUUCAUAUCUUAGAGCAGACCAGGGCCAGUUAAACAAGUUGCUCAAAAAGGAGAGGCAGAGAGCGGCAGAGAAUACACAAGAGUAUCUGGCAGCGAAGGAGGAAGCCGAUACCCUAGAAGGUCGAGCAAACCAACUUGAAGUGUAAAUUAGGAAACUGCGGAGAAAACAUAAGCAAGUGUUACAAAAAGGGCAGCUCCAAAACGAGCUUAUUCAGAAGGUGCUACGUAGUCUUACAGAAGAAACAAUCACUUCAGACUUUCAGACUCUGUGCCUCUGAGUAACUCUGCCUUAAUCUUCAUGAAUCUGCUUCUGAGUUGUUGAUGCAGUUGGGAGGUAUAACAAAAUUACGUUCUGUUUCAAUAUCUGCAACAUCAAGGAUAUGAAAGACGAAGGAAUCUAUCCUUCACAAGCAUGUGCUGUGUUUUCUUAUUUUAUAAGUUGGGUUAAAAAAUUUAAUAUAUAAAAAACUAUCAUGUUUGCUAUCGUGAA
Long non-coding RNA from Raphanus sativus (radish), 1236 nucleotides. RefSeq lists it as uncharacterized. The transcript is spliced from 2 exons. The record is from RefSeq and is a predicted model, not a curated record. NCBI's taxonomy places the organism in Eukaryota, Viridiplantae, Streptophyta, Magnoliopsida, Brassicales, Brassicaceae.